GUAGUCAACAAAGAAUGAGUUUCUGAUGCCACUGUUUUUCCUUUUUGUUGACCACAUGCUGCUUUUUUCUUAUUAACUCCUAUUUGUAUCCGCCCAAACCCCUUGUUGGUUUGGGCUUUUUUUU
This 124-nucleotide antisense RNA is filed under the name Vibrio maritimus. Its description in RNAcentral is "Vibrio sp. R-40493 Vibrio regulatory RNA of OmpA". It matches the Rfam family "Vibrio regulatory RNA of OmpA". The record is from Rfam by way of RNAcentral. Lineage: Bacteria; Pseudomonadati; Pseudomonadota; Gammaproteobacteria; Vibrionales; Vibrionaceae.